RNAcentral lists this ribosomal RNA (161 nucleotides) under uncultured bacterium. RNAcentral describes it as "partial 16S ribosomal RNA". It matches the Rfam family "Bacterial small subunit ribosomal RNA", at positions 358 to 511 of the family's 1533-position model. The record is from RNAcentral.
GGAAUCUUCCACAAUGGACGAAAGUCUGAUGGAGCAACGCCGCGUGAGUGAAGAAGGGUUUCGGCUCGUAAAGCUCUGUUGUUAAAGAAGAACGUGGGUAAGAGUAACUGUUUACCCAGUGACGGUAUUUAACCAGAAAGCCACGGCUAACUACGUGCCAG